Molecule: ribosomal RNA, 253 nt
Filed under: uncultured bacterium
Lineage: Bacteria
Description: partial 16S ribosomal RNA
Rfam family: Bacterial small subunit ribosomal RNA
Source: RNAcentral
UACAGAGGGUGCGAGCGUUGUCCGGAAUCACUGGGCGUAAAGGGCGCGUAGGCGGCUCAGUAAGGUUGCGGUGAAAGCCCGGGGCUCAACCCCGGGUCGGCCGUGGCAACUGCUGGGCUGGAGCACUGUAGAGGCAGGUGGAAUUCCGGGUGUAGCGGUGGAAUGCGUAGAGAUCCGGAAGAACACCGGUGGCGAAGGCGGCCUGCUGGGCAGUUGCUGACACUGAGGCGCGACAGCGUGGGGAGCAAACAGG